AGAAGUUGAAUGGGAUGCUAAUACCAGUUUUUCUGCUCGUGAAUGAUCUUAUUUUCAAUUCAUCUUUGGUCAUCUAGCUCCAAAGAAUAUAUUUUUUAGAAGCCAAGUUGGUCCCCUCCUGUCGGAAAAAUUAAAUUGAACUGUUACGAGAAGCUCUUUGGGCAACCCAGGACAAGUAGGGACGGCCCCUUGCAACCCUGCUCAGCUAAGGAGCUCUUUGGGCAACCCAGGACAAGUUGGG
This 241-nucleotide long non-coding RNA is filed under the name Amborella trichopoda. RNAcentral describes it as "long non-coding RNA (ATRI_LNC003976)". The record is from RNAcentral. Lineage: Eukaryota; Viridiplantae; Streptophyta; Magnoliopsida; Amborellales; Amborellaceae.